Herpailurus yagouaroundi (jaguarundi) is the source of this 1881-nucleotide long non-coding RNA. RefSeq lists it as uncharacterized. The record is from RefSeq and is a predicted model, not a curated record. The transcript has 5 exons. Lineage: Eukaryota; Metazoa; Chordata; Mammalia; Carnivora; Felidae.
UAAGGUAUUUAAUGUUCCAGGGAAAGUGUUACAGUUCUCAGGGUUCGAUAAAUGAUGAUGGCAUUUUUCGCACUGAAAAUGCUGGAACAAAUCCUGUUUAUGCUCUUUUUUCAGGAGGCGGGUCGAAGGCUUUCUCAACAGUGGGCCAGUGGUUUCGGGGAGACGAGGGUCAGCUAACGGCACAGGCGUGCUUUCUGCCGGUUGCGAGAUGUGAGGUCGUGAUGUAACGGCCACUCGUUUAUGUCCACAAGGGUCCUCGGUGAGAUGCGCGUUGUUCCGCUUGGUCUUCUGACGGAUCAGCCUGAACGGUUUCCCCGGUCCUCCUGCAGGUGCUCUGUGUCCAAACCUGGCAUGGGCUCAAGGUCAGGGCACGUGAGCCAGAGCCCUGGGCGCCCACGGGACUGGGCUUCCCUGCGACUGUGGAGCUCAGCCCUCAGGCGGUGGCCGCCCAUCCGGUGGCCUGUGCGUCACCGCUAGGGGCUGUCCGGGUGGGUGUGGCGGCAUCCUCAAGGCCCUUCUUAGCUGGAACAUGUGUGACCCAGAAGAGCUAGGGCAAUCCCCACCCCCACGUGGUCAGCUGGGGAACAGACACCCUCCGAGACCAGCAGCAAGUGGCCAGUGUGCCAGCGGGGCUGCUGGGGUGUUGUGCCUCCGGUUCCUCACCCAGGACCAGGUGACAGCGGCAGGACUAAGGGAGACAAGCGCCUUGUGUCCUCAGGAAGCCAGACCACACCUCCGGGAGCCCUCACGCGGCCAGCGAGUAGGAGGCAGAGGCCGGAUUAACUUCCUGCCCACGUUGCUGCCGGACCAACCACAGAAAGCCAAACACGUUCCCCAAACCAGUUCUGAGGACGACGCUCCAGGCCUGCCCAGGCCCGACUUCACGGCGCCCACAGCCUCCGUCAGGACACGGACCUUCCUCCCCCUCCCCCGGCGGAGGCCCCGCUCCUGUGCCUGCCCGUGACCUUCUGCCAGAGGCAGGAACGUGGCCCAGACGCUGAAUUCUCUCCGGCUAUUGUACAGCACACAAACAUCCCUGAACCGAACAGCUUUGACGGUUCAGGAUCUGCAGAGGUUAUCCAGAGUACAACCUCGGACCAGAUGCACCUUUUUGGAAUUCCCUUCCAGAAGGUCCCCAGAAGGCCGGAACGGGGGUGCCUGCAGAUGCUCCAGAUGAUUUGCCCCAUCCUGCAGGUGCUGGGAACGGAUGGCGGACGGCGAGGCACCCCUGCAGUUCUGUUCUAUUGAAGGGGUGCAGAGGCCCCACACAAACACGCGCUCGAGCACAUUGCCUACUUUGAGCCGAAGUCAUGGGAGAAGCAGAGCAGGGUGACUCAGCAGAAUUGCCCGAUUCUUGUGUCUGGGGGCUUCCUCACCUCUAACCACGCGGGAGAACCACCUCUGGUCUGGCUCCACGGCGGGAACUGUUCCUGUUAACUGGGUGGGGCUGCUGCACGCGGCCCCAGAGAGCAACAGCCGCUUCGCUCCACCACCUGACACCCGACCCCGCGGACGGGGACACGUGAACUCGCUCGAGCUGACCGCCUGUGAGUGGGACUCAGACAUCAGUGGGUGAGUGAUCUCAGACCUAAUUACAGCGCAGUCAGGGAACUAAUGACUCGGACACAGGCAGCUGUGGUGUCUGUAGCUAAAACAGUCACUUGCAGACCUUGAUCGUUUUAGGGAAUUCUUAUUAGCACGCCCUCCACCAAGGUGAAUUAAGGGAAGGGCACACGCAUGUGGACCGGGUCACAGCGUACGUGUUUGGCUGCACGUGCCGAGCUCCAGAAUCUUACCUGCCGGUGUGAUGUUCCCCUCCCAAGACAGGCUGUGCGGAAAAUACUCAAGUAACGUGGCAGAUGCCUAAGUGGUGAUUUUUGA